UACGAAGGGGGCUAGCGUUGCUCGGAAUCACUGGGUGUAAAGCGCACGUAGGCGGAUCUUUAAGUCAGGGGUGAAAUCCCAAGGCUCAACCUUGGAACUGCCUUUGAUACUGGGGAUCUCGAGUCCGGAAGAGGUUGGUGGAACUCCGAGUGUAGAGGUGAAAUUCGUAGAUAUUCGGAAGAACACCAGUGGCGAAGGCGGCCAACUGGUCCGGCACUGACGCUGAGGUGCGAAAGCGUGGGGAGCAAACAGG
This 253-nucleotide ribosomal RNA is filed under the name uncultured bacterium. RNAcentral's name for it is "partial 16S ribosomal RNA". It matches the Rfam family "Bacterial small subunit ribosomal RNA", at positions 524 to 776 of the family's 1533-position model. The record is from RNAcentral.